CCAAUAGCGUAUAUUAAGGUUGUUGCAGUUAAAAAGCUCGUAGUUGAACUUCGGGGUUUACCCAUUGGUCAGGCUUAAUUGUCUGUACUGGUGAGAUGAGUCUCUACCUUCUGAGGAACUUUCAUGCCAUUUAUUUGGUGUGAUUGGAAAUCAGGACUGUUACUUUGAAAAAAUUAGAGUGUUUAAAGCAGGCUAACGUCUGAAUACAUUAGCAUGGAAUAAUGAAAUAGGACGGAUUGAUUCUAUUUCGUUGGUUUCUAGGAUCACCGUAAUGAUUAAUAGGGAUAGUUGGGGGCAUUAGUAUUCAAUUGUCAGAGGUGAAAUUCUUGGAUUUAUUGAAGACUAACUACUGCGGAAGCAUUUGCCAAGGAUGUUUUCAUUAAUCAAGAACGAAAGUUAGGGGAUCGAAGACGAUCAGAUACCGUCGUAGUCUUAACCAUAAACUAUGCCGACUAGGGAUCGGACGAAGUUAAUUUUAUAAUGACGCGUUCGGCACCUUACG
RNAcentral lists this ribosomal RNA (502 nucleotides) under uncultured Glomeromycotina. RNAcentral's name for it is "partial small subunit ribosomal RNA". It matches the Rfam family "Eukaryotic small subunit ribosomal RNA", at positions 591 to 1092 of the family's 1831-position model. The record is from RNAcentral. Lineage: Eukaryota; Fungi; Glomeromycota.